Molecule: ribosomal RNA, 475 nt
Filed under: uncultured bacterium
Lineage: Bacteria
Description: bacterial SSU rRNA
Rfam family: Bacterial small subunit ribosomal RNA
Source: RNAcentral
UGCCUAACACAUGCAAGUCGAACGGACAUAACCAAGUUAUAGCGAUAUAAUGCGGGUAUGUUAGUGGCGAACGGGUGAGUAACACGUGAGCAACCUGCCCUGUACAACGGGAUAACAGUUGGAAACGACUGCUAAUACGGUAUAAGACCACACUGCGGCAUCGCAGAGGGGUAAAAGUGAAUUAGCGGUACAGGAUGGGCUCGCGUCCAAUUAGCUAGUUGGUGAGGUAACGGCUCACAAAGGCGACGAUUGGUAGCCGACCUGAGAGGGUGAUCGGCCACACUGGAACUGAGACACGGUCCAGACUCCUACGGGAGGCAGCAGUGGGGAAUAUUGGGCAAUGGAGGAAAAACCUCUUACCCAGCAAUGCCGCGUGAAGGAAGAAGGUCUUCGGAUUGUAAACUUCUUUUAUUGGGGACGAAUAAAUGACGGUACCCGAUGAAUAAGCCCCGGCUAACUAUGUGCCAGCAGCUGC